This 492-nucleotide ribosomal RNA is filed under the name uncultured bacterium. RNAcentral describes it as "partial 16S ribosomal RNA". It matches the Rfam family "Bacterial small subunit ribosomal RNA", at positions 29 to 507 of the family's 1533-position model. The record is from RNAcentral.
AGUGAACGCUGGCGGUAGGCCUAACACAUGCAAGUCGAACGGCAGCACAGUAAGAGCUUGCUCUUACGGGUGGCGAGUGGCGGACGGGUGAGGAAUACAUCGGAAUCUACUUUUUCGUGGGGGAUAACGUAGGGAAACUUACGCUAAUACCGCAUACGACCUACGGGUGAAAGCAGGGGAUCUUCGGACCUUGCGCGAUUGAAUGAGCCGAUGUCGGAUUAGCUAGUUGGCGGGGUAAAGGCCCACCAAGGCGACGAUCCGUAGCUGGUCUGAGAGGAUGGUCGGCCGCACUGGAACUGAGACACGGUCCAGACUCCUACGGGAGGCAGCAGUGGGGUAUAUUGGACAAUGGGCGCAAGCCUGAUCCAGCCAUACCGCGUGGGUGAAGAAGGCCUUCGGGUUGUAAAGCCCUUUUGUUGGGAAAGAAAAGCAGCAGGUUAAUACCCCGCUGUUCUGACGGUACCCAAAGAAUAAGCACCGGCUAACUUCGUG